ACAAACCUACGGGAGGCAGCAGUAGGGAAUCUUCCACAAUGGGCGAAAGCCUGAUGGGGCAACGCCGCGUGGGUGAAGAAGGUCUUCGGAUCGUAAAACCCUGUUGUUAGAGAAGAAAGUGCGUGAGAGUAACUGUUCACAUUUCGACGGUAUCUAACCAGAAAGCCACGGCUAACUACGUGCCAGCAGCCGCGGUAAUACGUAGGUGGCAAGCGUUAUCCGGAUUUAUUGGGCGUAAAGGGAACGCAGGCGGCCUUUUACGUCUGAUGUGAAAGCCUUCGGCUUAACCGGA
RNAcentral lists this ribosomal RNA (292 nucleotides) under uncultured bacterium. Its description in RNAcentral is "partial 16S ribosomal RNA". It matches the Rfam family "Bacterial small subunit ribosomal RNA", at positions 333 to 617 of the family's 1533-position model. The record is from RNAcentral.